CUCUGUGACUCCUACGGGAGGCAGCAGUGGGGAAUAUUGCACAAUGGGGGAAACCCUGAUGCAGCCAUGCCGCGUGUGUGAAGAAGGCCUUCGGGUUGUAAAGCACUUUCAGUAGGGAGGAAGGUAGUGUAGUUAACACCUGCAUUAUUUGACGUUACCUACAGAAGAAGCACCGGCUAACUCCGUGCCAGCAGCCGCGGUAAUACGGAGGGUGCGAGCGUUAAUCGGAAUUACUGGGCGUAAAGCGCAUGCAGGCGGCCUGUUAAGUCAGAUGUGAAAGCCCGGGGCUUAACCUCGGAAUUGCAUUUGAAACUGGCAGGCUAGAGUCUUGUAGAGGGGGUAGAAUUUCAGGUGUAGCGGUGAAAUGCGUAGAGAUCUGAAGGAAUACCAGUGGCGAAGGCGGCCCCCUGGACAAAGACUGACGCUCAGAUGCGAAAGCGUGGGGAGCAAACAGGAUUAGAUACCCUGUAG
This 471-nucleotide ribosomal RNA is filed under the name uncultured bacterium. Its description in RNAcentral is "bacterial SSU rRNA". It matches the Rfam family "Bacterial small subunit ribosomal RNA", at positions 328 to 793 of the family's 1533-position model. The record is from RNAcentral.